Molecule: ribosomal RNA, 703 nt
Filed under: Alternaria alternata
Lineage: Eukaryota; Fungi; Ascomycota; Dothideomycetes; Pleosporales; Pleosporaceae
Description: SSU rRNA
Rfam family: Eukaryotic small subunit ribosomal RNA
Source: RNAcentral
UCUAGUUAGCAUUAUACCGUGAAACUGCGAAUGGCUCAUUAAAUCAGUUAUCGUUUAUUUGAUAAUACCUUACUACUUGGAUAACCGUGGUAAUUCUAGAGCUAAUACAUGCUGAAAAUCCCGACUUCGGAAGGGAUGUGUUUAUUAGAUAAAAAACCAAUGCCCUUCGGGGCUUUUUGGUGAUUCAUGAUAACUUUACGGAUCGCAUAGCCUUGCGCUGGCGACGGUUCAUUCAAAUUUCUGCCCUAUCAACUUUCGAUGGUAAGGUAUUGGCUUACCAUGGUUUCAACGGGUAACGGGGAAUUAGGGUUCGAUUCCGGAGAGGGAGCCUGAGAAACGGCUACCACAUCCAAGGAAGGCAGCAGGCGCGCAAAUUACCCAAUCCCGACACGGGGAGGUAGUGACAAUAAAUACUGAUACAGGGCUCUUUUGGGUCUUGUAAUUGGAAUGAGUACAAUUUAAACCUCUUAACGAGGAACAAUUGGAGGGCAAGUCUGGUGCCAGCAGCCGCGGUAAUUCCAGCUCCAAUAGCGUAUAUUAAAGUUGUUGCAGUUAAAAAGCUCGUAGUUGAAACUUGGGCCUGGCUGGCGGGUCCGCCUCACCGCGUGCACUCGUCCGGCCGGGCCUUCCUUCUGAAGAACCUCAUGCCCUUCACUGGGCGUGCUGGGGAAUCAGGACUUUUACUUUGAAAAAAUUAGAGUGU